UCCUACGGGAGGCAGCAGUUUCGAAUCAUUCACAAUGGGCGAAAGCCUGAUGGUGCGACGCCGCGUGAGGGAUGAAGGUCUUCGGAUUGUAAACCUCUGUCACCGGGGAAGAAACGCUUCAUUUUAAUAGAAUGAAGCCUGACUUAACCCGGAGAGGAAGCAGUGGCUAACUCUGUGCCAGCAGCCGCGGUA
This 192-nucleotide ribosomal RNA is filed under the name uncultured Eubacterium sp. Its description in RNAcentral is "partial 16S ribosomal RNA". It matches the Rfam family "Bacterial small subunit ribosomal RNA", at positions 337 to 522 of the family's 1533-position model. Lineage: Bacteria; Bacillati; Bacillota; Clostridia; Eubacteriales; Eubacteriaceae. The record is from RNAcentral.